Molecule: ribosomal RNA, 253 nt
Filed under: uncultured bacterium
Lineage: Bacteria
Description: partial 16S ribosomal RNA
Rfam family: Bacterial small subunit ribosomal RNA
Source: RNAcentral
GACAGAGGGGGCAAGCGUUGCUCGGAAUCACUGGGCGUAAAGGGCGCGUAGGCGGGAUGGCAAGUCGGUCGUGAAAUCCUUCGGCUCAACCGAAGAACGUCGGCCGAUACUGCCGUUCUUGAGGGAUGCAGAGGAGAUUGGAAUUCCCGGUGUAGCGGUGAAAUGUGUAGAGAUCGGGAGGAACACCGGUGGCGAAGGCGGAUCUCUGGGCCUUACCUGACGCUCAGGUGCGAAAGCUAGGGGAGCGAACAGG